GCCAGGUGCGGUAGCGCGUGCCUGUAGUCCCAGCUACUCGGGAGGCUGAGGCUGGAGGAUCCCUUGAGUCCAGGAGUUCCGGGCUGCAGCACACUAUGCCGAUUGGGUGUCCACACUAAGUUCAGCAUCAAUAUGGUGACCUCCUGGGAUCAGAGGACCACCAGGUUACCUAAGGAGGGGUGAACUGGCCCCGGUCGGAAAUAGAGCGGAUCAAAACUCCCUUGCUAAUCAGUAGUGAUAUUGCACCUGUGAAUAGCCACUGCACUCUAGCCUGGGCAACAUAGCAAGACCCCAUCUCU
Molecule: signal recognition particle RNA, 299 nt
Filed under: Cebus imitator (Panamanian white-faced capuchin)
Lineage: Eukaryota; Metazoa; Chordata; Mammalia; Primates; Cebidae
Description: Metazoan signal recognition particle RNA (ENSCCAG00000014344.1)
Rfam family: Metazoan signal recognition particle RNA
About the family: The signal recognition particle (SRP) is a universally conserved ribonucleoprotein. It is involved in the co-translational targeting of proteins to membranes.
Source: RNAcentral